GCAAAUUAAAGGAAAUGAAAUAACAAAAUAAAGAUAUCACAAACUAAUUUAUCUAGAACGUUUCGAAAACUUUAACCAAACAAAUUGAUGAAGAGAAUAAGAUGAAGAGAAAUCAAACCUUGUAAGCUAGCUCUGAUACCAAAUGAUGUCAACCUUAUAUGGAAGAGAAGAUUACACGCCAAGAUCGAUACUUAUAAGGUUUGCCAAAAGAUAUUUGCAGAACUAUCACCCUUAUUUAUAAAGAAAUAAGAUCAAUAGCUAUAAUGGGAUGAACUUAAU
RNAcentral lists this long non-coding RNA (279 nucleotides) under Ricinus communis (castor bean). RNAcentral describes it as "long non-coding RNA (RCOM_LNC000208)". Lineage: Eukaryota; Viridiplantae; Streptophyta; Magnoliopsida; Malpighiales; Euphorbiaceae. The record is from RNAcentral.